RNAcentral lists this unclassified non-coding RNA (614 nucleotides) under Hevea brasiliensis (rubber tree). The record is from RNAcentral. Lineage: Eukaryota; Viridiplantae; Streptophyta; Magnoliopsida; Malpighiales; Euphorbiaceae.
GGCAGAUGCAGGAUCCAUGUCAAAAACUGUGAACACAGAAGACGUUGGCGGCUCAAAGAAGGAGAUAACACCAAAAGAAGUGAAAAACAAAUCCGAGAAGAGAGCACCAAAACACUGGAGCAAUCUUAAAAAAUGGAUACUUCUCCAACGAUUCGUCAAGGAAUUGGAAAAGGUUAGAAGGAUCAAUACAAGGAAGCCGCAGUAUUUGCAGUUGAAUCCUGAUCCUGAAGCAGAAAAGGUGAAUUUAAGAACUCAAACAGCUGAUGAGAGGAAAAGAGGAGAAGAGUGGAUGCUUGACUAUGCGCUUCAGCAGGCGAUAAGUCAACUUGCUCCGACUCAACAAAGAAAAGUGGAACUGCUGAUAAAAGCAUUUGAAACUGUGGUUCCACCACAAGGCGACAAUAGCCAGAUUGCAUUUUCUAAGCCUAGGACUAGAAAGGAGAAUGAAUUCAUGUCUACAGCUGGCAAUACGGGGCGUAAGGCAGAGAAAGUUAUUGCAGGCAUAGACAGAAAGCUUGAAGAAAAUGACUGCUCUAUGUACAAAGAUCAUGAUGUUCGACAGUCUGUACUUAGGCAGAAGUCGGAUGAAGUGACAAGCGCUGUGAAUGAUGAGG